Molecule: ribosomal RNA, 492 nt
Filed under: uncultured bacterium
Lineage: Bacteria
Description: partial 16S ribosomal RNA
Rfam family: Bacterial small subunit ribosomal RNA
Source: RNAcentral
AGUGAACGCUGGCGGUAGGCCUAACACAUGCAAGUCGAACGGCAGCACAGUAAGAGCUUGCUCUUACGGGUGGCGAGUGGCGGACGGGUGAGGAAUACAUCGGAAUCUACUUUUUCGUGGGGGAUAACGUAGGGAAACUUACGCUAAUACCGCAUCCGACCUACGGGUGAAAGCAGGGGAUCUUCGGACCUUGCGCGAUUGAAUGAGCCGAUGUCGGAUUAGCUAGUUGGCGGGGUAAAGGCCCACCGAGGCGACGAUCCGUAGCUGGUCUGAGAGGAUGAUCAGCCACACUGGAACUGAGACACGGUCCAGACUCCUACGGGAGGCAGCAGUGGGGAAUAUUGGACAAUGGGCGCAAGCCUGAUCCAGCCAUACCGCGUGGGUGAAGAAGGCCUUCGGGUUGUAAAGCCCUUUUGUUGGGAAAGAAAAGCAGCAGGUUAAUACCCCGCUGUUCUGACGGUACCCAAAGAAUAAGCACCGGCUAACUUCGUG